This 247-nucleotide ribosomal RNA is filed under the name uncultured Lactobacillus sp. Its description in RNAcentral is "partial 16S ribosomal RNA". It matches the Rfam family "Bacterial small subunit ribosomal RNA", at positions 118 to 355 of the family's 1533-position model. Lineage: Bacteria; Bacillati; Bacillota; Bacilli; Lactobacillales; Lactobacillaceae. The record is from RNAcentral.
UGGGGAACCUGCCCCAUAGUCUGGGAUACCACUUGGAAACAGGUGCUAAUACCGGAUAAGAAAGCAGAUCGCAUGAUCAGCUUUUAAAAGGCGGCGUAAGCUGUCGCUAUGGGAUGGGCCCCGCGGUGCAUUAGCUAGUUUGUAAGGUAAAGGCUUACCAAGGCGAUGAUGCAUAGCCGAGUUGAGAGACUGAUCGGCCCACAUUGGGACUGAGACACGGCCCAAACUCCUACGGGAGGCAGCAGCC